Molecule: long non-coding RNA, 513 nt
Filed under: Gossypium barbadense (sea-island cotton)
Lineage: Eukaryota; Viridiplantae; Streptophyta; Magnoliopsida; Malvales; Malvaceae
Description: long non-coding RNA (GBAR_LNC002685)
Source: RNAcentral
CGCUAUCCUUAUCCUUAGCCACUCUCUCAAAAUCAUCUCCCAGCUUCCUCACUGCGCCUUUCCUCAGUACCCUCUUCUCUUCUCUGUUCAUCAUAAUCUCAUUCUCUUCAUUUUCACUCUCUACGUCCUCCUCGUCCUCAUCAUUAAGGUCCAAGAAUCCCUUCCUCUUGACGGCCACAGGAGCAGGAGGGGAUAAGGAAGCAUCCCUAUUGUUUUUCUUAGGGACAGGAUCCUUGUUAUUAAGGAACUUGUCGCGCUGGGCCUUCAAUCUCUGGACGUUGCCUUCGAUGCGGCCUUGGAGACGGAGGCGCUUGAAACUGAGACCACCCAUGGACCAGUGCGCUUCAUUGGCCCAGGAGAGCAGCGGAUCAAGGACUGGAACCGGAGGAUCUACGCGUUCGGAGUUGAACCUGGUUUCGCUGUAGAUACGGGGCCGAGGAAGACUGCUGCCGUAGAACUUGCCGGGGCCGAGAGGAACCACCAUAUUAGAAGUAGACUUAAUUUGGAAGAUUU